This is a long non-coding RNA of Lactuca sativa (garden lettuce), 336 nucleotides long. RefSeq lists it as uncharacterized. Lineage: Eukaryota; Viridiplantae; Streptophyta; Magnoliopsida; Asterales; Asteraceae. The record is from RefSeq and is a predicted model, not a curated record.
GUUUUUUACGGAGGGGUAGACUUUUUAACGACCAGCGAGCCGCAACAGAGUAAAUUAGGUUGAAAAAAGCUACGAAAAAUGUUUUCGAAGAUUUGAUAAUUGUGGCAGAGGAAGAAAAUGAAAUUGAGAUGAAGGAAGAGGUGAAGGAUGAAGCUGCAGAUGUAAGCAUACAUUGAUGUUUCCUUCUUCUUUCUUUUGUUUAGGUCUGUGUUCGAUUGUAUUGUGAAGAAUUACCGACUUAUAUUGCCUUCAUGUCUAUUUCUGGUUGAUGUGUUUUGAUGUUGCUUUGUUAAAGAAAUAAUGCAUUUGUGAUUCAUAAAUAUUGGUUUUGAUUCU